GAUGAACGCUGACAGAAUGCUUAACACAUGCAAGUCAACUUGAAUUUGGGUUUUUAACUUAGGUUUGGGUGGCGGACGGGUGAGUAACGCGUAAAGAACUUGCCUCACAGCUAGGGACAACAUUUGGAAACGAAUGCUAAUACCUAAUAUUAUGAUAAUAGGGCAUCCUAUAAUUAUGAAAGCUAUAAGCGCUGUGAGAGAGCUUUGCGUCCCAUUAGCUAGUUGGAGAGGUAACGGCUCACCAAGGCGAUGAUGGGUAGCCGGCCUGAGAGGGUGAUCGGCCACGAGGGGACUGAGACACGGCCCUUACUACUACGGGAGGCAGCAGUGGGGAAUAUUGGACAAUGGACCGAGAGUCUGAUCCAGCAAUUCUGUGUGAACGAUGAAGUUUUUCGGAAUGUAAAGUGCUUUCAGUUGGGAAGAAACAAAUGACGGUACCAACAGAAGAAGUGGCGGCUAAAUACGUG
This 467-nucleotide ribosomal RNA is filed under the name uncultured bacterium. RNAcentral describes it as "partial 16S ribosomal RNA". It matches the Rfam family "Bacterial small subunit ribosomal RNA", at positions 28 to 507 of the family's 1533-position model. The record is from RNAcentral.